Molecule: ribosomal RNA, 447 nt
Filed under: uncultured bacterium
Lineage: Bacteria
Description: partial 16S ribosomal RNA
Rfam family: Bacterial small subunit ribosomal RNA
Source: RNAcentral
AACGAACGCUGGCGGCAGGCUUAACACAUGCAAGUCGAGCGCGUAGCAAUACGAGCGGCAGACGGGUGAGUAACGCGUGGGAAUCUACCGAGCCCUAAGGAAUAGCUCCGGGAAACUGGAAUUAAUACCUUAUACGCCCUUUGGGGGAAAGAUUUAUCGGGGUUUGAUGAGCCCGCGUUGGAUUAGCUAGUUGGUGGGGUAAAGGCCUACCAAGGCGACGAUCCAUAGCUGGUCUGAGAGGAUGAUCAGCCACAUUGGGACUGAGACACGGCCCAAACUCCUACGGGAGGCAGCAGUGGGGAAUAUUGGACAAUGGGCGCAAGCCUGAUCCAGCCAUGCCGCGUGAGUGAUGAAGGCCCUAGGGUUGUAAAGCUCUUUCACCGGUGAAGAUAAUGACGGUAACCGGAGAAGAAGCCCCGGCUAACUUCGUGCCAGCCGCCGCCGUAA